Molecule: long non-coding RNA, 800 nt
Organism: Biomphalaria glabrata
Lineage: Eukaryota; Metazoa; Mollusca; Gastropoda; Planorbidae
Exons: 2
Source: RefSeq, a predicted model, not a curated record
AUGUUUAGAUUGCCCUUAGAAAUAGAUUUUGUCUAAAUUUGGUAUGUUAGCCUGAGUAAAAUUCAGGUGGUGCUGAAGCCUUAAACCCGUUCGGGGUAGAAGACAUAAUUUAGAUGAAAAGCUAUAUUAUACGUUUAGGGUUGUGAUUGUUUUGUUUGUGUAAACGUCAUAUCCAUUGUUGCCUAGUUACUUCGUGACGUUAUCAUUGUAUGCCAUAUUGUCAUAUCCCAACCCAUAGUGACAGUCUCAUUUAAUUAUUUCAUUUGUUUAUAUUAUUUUAAAUUAUUUAUUUUUAUUAAUUUAAUUAGAUCUGUAUUUUUUUUUCACUUAAUGAUAGAAAGUGCGGGUAGGAUUCUUUUAUUGUGAAUCAGACUAAAAUAAUUUUAGUUUGAGCGGUUAAAAUCAAAUAUGAUUUUGCCAUGAGAAUAAUGCCGAAACUGGCUAUGUAGUCAAACACUGUCGUCUGGCUAAAUAUAGAUCUACAAAUUUUGUACAUCUCUUUGGUACAAUUAAAUCAUCUAGACUCUAAGUUGAAAUAUUAUUAAUUGAAAAAUGAAUGAAGAUUACUGCCAGUGAAGAACACUAGUGACGUGUGACGUGCCCAGAAGAUGCCACAUUUUCUUUUAUGAUGAACUGUGUACUAAUGAAGAUGAUUCUGGAAUGUUGUGAACAUUGACAUUGAAUAUGAGGAACUGUCAAGUCAAGAUGAAGAUGUCAAGAUGAAGAUGUCAAGAUUUUAUGUUUGUUGUCUUCCCCUUAAAUUGAAAAUGCCCUUGUAAGACUUGACAGUAGUGGAAAAA